This is a long non-coding RNA of Gallus gallus (chicken), 1589 nucleotides long. NCBI's taxonomy places the organism in Eukaryota, Metazoa, Chordata, Aves, Galliformes, Phasianidae. The record is from Ensembl.
CACGGGGUUAUAUGGGGGGCUAUGGGGGGAUAUGGAGGUCAUGGGGCCACCUGGGGGACUUAUGGGGUCAUAUGGGGGGUCAUGGGGUCACAUGGGGUCAUGGGGUCACAUGGGGGUUAUGGGGUCACACGGGAUCACGUGGUUAUACAGGUGGUUAUGGGUCACAUGGGGGGUUAUGGGGUCACCUGGCGGUCAUGGGGUCACCUGGGGGACUUAUGGUGUCACAUGAGGGGUCAUGGGGUCACAGGGGUGUUAUGGGGUCACACGUGGGGUUAUAGGAUCACCUAGGGGGUUAUGGGGUCCCACGUGGGGUUAUGGGGUCACAGGGGUGUUAUGGGGUCACAGGGGGGUUAUGGGGUCACAGGGGGGUCAUGGGGUCACAUGAGGGGUCAUGGGGUCACAGGGGGGUUAUGGUGUCACAUGAGGGGUCAUGGGGUCACAGGGGUGUUAUGGGGUCACAGGGGGGUUAUGGGGUCACAAGAGGGGUUAUGGGGUCAUAGGGGAGUUAUGGUGUCACAUGAGGGGUCAUGGGGUCACAGGGGGGUUAUGGUGUCACAUGAGGGGUCAUGGGGUCACAGGGGGGUCAUGGGGUCACACGAGGGGUUAUGGGGUCACAGGGGGGUUAUGGGGUCACCUGGGGGGUUAUGGGGUCACACGUGGGGUUAUGGGGUCACAUGAGGGGUCAUGGGGUCGCAGGGAGGUUAUGGGGUCACACAUGAGGUUAUGGGGUCACAGGGGGGUUAUGGUGUCACAUGAGGGGUCAUGGGGUCACAGGGGGGUCAUGGGGUCACAGGGGUGUUAUGGGGUCACACGAGGGGUUAUGGGGUCACAUGUGGGGUUAUGGGGUCACAGGGGGGUUAUGGGGUCACAUGAGGGAUCAUGGGGUCACAGGGGGGUUAUGGGGUCGCAGGGGUGUUAUGGGGUCACAGGGGGGUUCUGGGGUCACCUGGGGGGUUAUGGGGUCACACGUGGGGUUAUGGGGUCACAUGAGGGGGCAUGGGGUCACAGGGGGGUUAUGGGGUCACAUGAGGGGUCAUGGGGUCACAGGGGGGUCAUGGGGUCACACGAGGGGUUAUGGGGUCACAGGGGGGUCAUGGGGUCACAGGGGGGUCAUGGGGUCACAGGGGUGUUAUGGGGUCACACGAGGGGUUAUGGGGUCACAUGUGGGGUUAUGGGGUCACAGGGGGGUUAUGGGGUCACCUGGGGGACUUAUGGCAUUGUAUGGGGGGGGUGAUGCUGUCACAUGGGGGGUCAUGGGGUCACACGGGGGGUUAUGGGGUCACAUGAGUGGUCAUGGGGUCACAGGGGGGUCAUGGGGUCACAUGAAGGGUCAUGGGGUCACAGGGGGGUUAUGGGGUCACAGGGGGGUUAUGGGGUCACAUGAGGGGUCAUGGGGUCACAGGGGGGUCAUGGGGUCACAGGGGGGUCAUGGGGUCACACGUGGAGUUAUGGGGUCACAUGAGGGGUUAUGGAGUCACAGGGGGGUCAUGGGGUCACACGAGGGGUUAUGGGGUCACAUGUGGGGUUAUGGGGUCACAGGGAGGUCAUGGGGUCACAGGGGGGUUAUGGGGUCACCUGGGGGACUUAUG